RNAcentral lists this ribosomal RNA (463 nucleotides) under uncultured bacterium. RNAcentral describes it as "bacterial SSU rRNA". It matches the Rfam family "Bacterial small subunit ribosomal RNA", at positions 29 to 506 of the family's 1533-position model. The record is from RNAcentral.
AUGAACGCUGGCGGCGUGCCUAACCCAUGUAAGUCGAGCGAUUUCGUAGCAAUAUGAAAGAGCGGCGGAAGGGUGAGUAACACGUAGGAGACCUACCUCAUCGCAGGGAACAACUUCGCGAAAGCGGAGCUAAUACCCAGAAGGCUCGCAGCUUCGGUGUUGCGAGGAGAGUGACCCCGCAAGGGGACGCGUGAUGAGAGGGUCCUGCGGCCCAUCAGCUCGUUGGUAGGGUAGUGGCCUACCAAGGCAACGACGGGUAGGGGGUCUGAGAGGACGAUCCCCCACACUGGAACUGAAACACGGUCCAGACGCCUACGGGUGGCAGCAGGGAGGAAUAUUGGGCAAUGGACGAAAGUCUGACCCAGCAACGCCGCGUGGAGGAUGAAGGCCUUCGGGUCGUAAACUCCUUUUGAGGGAGAAGAGCAAGGACGGUAUCCCUCGAAUAAGCCACGGCUAACUACGU